CCUACGGGAGGCAGCAGUAGGGAAUCUUUCACAAUGGGCGAAAGCCUGAUGGAGCAACGCCGCGUGCAGGAUGAAGGUCUUCGGGUUGGAAACUGCUUUUAUAAGCGAGGAAUAUGAUGGUAACUUAUGAAUAAGGCGCGGCUAACUACGUGCCAGCAGCCGCGGUCAUACGUAGGAUCCGAGCAUUAUCCGGAGUGACUGGGUGUAAAGAGGUGCGUAGGGGGCAUAAUAAGUAGCUAGUGAAAUCUGGUGGCGCAACCAUUCAGACUAUUCGCUAAACUGUUAAGCUCGAGACAGUUAGGGGUAAGUGGAAUUUCUAGUGUAGGAGUGAAAUCCGUAGAUAUUAGAAGGAACACCAAUAGCGUAGGCAGGUUACUGGGACGCUUCUGACGCUAAGGCACGAAAGCGUAGGGAGCAAACGGGAUUAGAUACCCUUGUAGUC
RNAcentral lists this ribosomal RNA (442 nucleotides) under uncultured bacterium. RNAcentral describes it as "partial 16S ribosomal RNA". It matches the Rfam family "Bacterial small subunit ribosomal RNA", at positions 338 to 795 of the family's 1533-position model. The record is from RNAcentral.